AUCUGCUAGGAUGCUGGCGUAAUGGCUGUAAGCGGCCCGUCUUGAAACACGGACCAAGGAGUCUAACAUCUAUGCGAGUGUUUGGGUGUCAAGCCCGAGCGCGUAAUGAAAGUGAACGGAGGUGGGAACCCGCAAGGGCGCACCAUCGACCGAUCCUGAAGUUUACGGAAGGAUUUGAGUAAGAGCAUGGCUGUUGGGACCCGAAAGAUGGUGAACUAUGCUUGAAUAGGGUGAAGCCAGAGGAAACUCUGGUGGAGGCUCGCAGCGGUUCUGACGUGCAAAUCGAUCGUCAAAUUUGGGCAUAGGGGCGAAAGACUAAUCGAACUAUCUAGUAGCUGGUUCCUGCCGAAGUUUCCCUCAGGAUAGCAGUAACGUAUUCAGUUUUAUGAGGUAAAGCGAAUGAUUAGAGGCAUGGGGGUUGAAACAACCUUCACCUAUUCUCAAACUUUAAAUAUGUAAGAAGCCCUUUGUUACUUAAUUGAACGCGGGCAUUUGAAUGAAACGUUAUUAGUGGGCCAUUUUUGGUAAGCAGAACUGGCGAUGCGGGAUGAACCGAACGAGGGGUUACGGUGCCGGAGUACACGCUCAUCAGACACCACAAAAGGUGUUGGUUCAUCUAGACAGCAGGACGGUGGCCAUGGAAGUCGGAAUCCGCUAAGGAGUGUGUAACAACUCACCUGCCGAAUGAACUAGCCCUGAAAAUGGAUGGCGCUCAAGCGUGUCACCUAUACCCCUCCGCCGGGGCAAAAUUUACGCCCCGGCGAGUAGGCAGGCGUGGAGGCUCGUGACGAAGCCUUGG
Molecule: ribosomal RNA, 799 nt
Filed under: Curvularia sp.
Lineage: Eukaryota; Fungi; Ascomycota; Dothideomycetes; Pleosporales; Pleosporaceae
Description: partial large subunit ribosomal RNA
Rfam family: Eukaryotic large subunit ribosomal RNA
Source: RNAcentral